This 504-nucleotide ribosomal RNA is filed under the name uncultured bacterium. Its description in RNAcentral is "partial 16S ribosomal RNA". It matches the Rfam family "Bacterial small subunit ribosomal RNA", at positions 30 to 523 of the family's 1533-position model. The record is from RNAcentral.
AUUGAACGCUGGCGGCAGGCCUAACACAUGCAAGUCGAGCGGUAGCACAGAGAGCUUGCUCUCGGGUGACGAGCGGCGGACGGGUGAGUAAUGUCUGGGAAACUGCCUGAUGGAGGGGGAUAACUACUGGAAACGGUAGCUAAUACCGCAUAACGUCGCAAGACCAAAGCGGGGGACCUUCGGGCCUCAUGCCAUCAGAUGUGCCCAGAUGGGAUUAGCUAGUAGGUGGGGUAACGGCUCACCUAGGCGACGAUCCCUAGCUGGUCUGAGAGGAUGACCAGCCACACUGGAACUGAGACACGGUCCAGACUCCUACGGGAGGCAGCAGUGGGGAAUAUUGCACAAUGGGCGCAAGCCUGAUGCAGCCAUGCCGCGUGUGUGAAGAAGGCCUUCGGGUUGUAAAGCACUUUCAGCGGGGAGGAAGGGAGUAAAGUUAAUACCUUUACUCAUUGACGUUACCCGCAGAAGAAGCACCGGCUAACUCCGUGCCAGCCGCCGCCGUAA